CCUAGACUUAUUUCCAGAAAAUAAAACCUAUAACUGCCUCUGUGUAAAGCACAGAAUCUAGCAAUGACCUUUAUAAAGUGAAAUCUGCUGAAUACAAAUCUCUUUCACAAACUGAUUUUGUCUUUGUAGGCUUUUUGUAUAAUGUUUCAAUUAAUCAGAUAUUGUCAGAAAUAAGUUGUCAAGACAAAAAUCAGAGAUUGUGAAGAAAAUUCAGCAGUGUCUGAAUGAGUAAACAGCUCACAUUCUGGCACAAUGCCCUAUAGCUAACAGUCAUAUGGCCAAGCUGUGCCCUUCUAUCGGACAAAUAACAUCCAUAUUCAUUUAUGGGCACUGUGGUGGCUAAUUAAUUAAGGGUGAGAUUACUGUAGAAGGUUAUUGUUGAGAAUAUGACAGUAACAGUCAGUGAGAGCCCUUCCGUUGGCAGUGUGUAAUAUGUCAUCAUGAAUACCAUUAAAUAAGUGUGGAAAAUAGAUAAAUAGAUGCCUUUCAAUUUACAGCUACAAAUGUCAGAAUUCACAAGGAUGUUGUCAUCAGGAAUGCUGGAUUGUGGCACUGUAAAUUUACAUACUCUGUUUAACACUGUCACGGAUCGUAAGAGGCGAAGACUCAAGUGCAUGCAGAUGAGGAUUCUUUAUUUGUAAAUAACCAAAGUAAACAAAAACACAACUGAAACCACCCCGAAGGGGAAAAAAACAGAGUAGCAUUCAUGGUUACAACUCGUCAUAAACUGAACACAGGGCAGCCAGACAUCAAAGGCAGGAACCGGUACAUACGUGAGACAAACAAGCCCAGAACAGAAAACACAGGAAGCUUAUAAAGAAGAGGCAACCAGGUAAACUGCUGGGACAAAUUAAAUCAAGGAAUAAGGUAACGAGAGAACAGGUGAGUGGAGUUUAGGGGAAUGGAGUCCAGAGGAAAGGGAGAAACACAGGUGGAGCAACUGAAUCAAUAAUGACGUAACAAGAUGGGCGGGGUCAGAAAAUAGACAGGAGAGAGCACAUGGCACCAAACAAACACAACACUCACAAAAAGACAGUGUCAGGGCACACCAGCUAAAGACUGUGACAAACACAGGCUGAAGGAUCAUUUUUGAUAAUCAAGCUGGCAUGAACAAGAGUGGCUGGGACUAGUUUUCACUAAAGCUAUAUCUCAAUAAAUAUAACGUUUAGAGCCAAAAGUCCAUUUAUGAAAAUAUGUUUUUUUUCUACCGAUGGUUUUGAAUGCUGGUUUCAAAGAUCUAUGUUCAAAAAUUUUCUUAAAUUAAAACAUUUAUAAUGAUUCAACAAAAGUCAAAUUUAUUUAUUUAGUUUUUUUGGAAAAAAAAAAAAAAACAGUAAAUAUAAAUAGCUAAAUAAAAAUAAAAAUAUAGAAAAAUAUAGAAAAUAUAUUUAAAAAUAAUACGUUCUUGAAUACACCUCUGGUGCAACUCAGACACAUCAUCAGUGAUGUUUCCUGGGUUCAUUGGGUGUUUUGGGUCUCACAACAUCAUACACCCUCGCCCAGGUGACCCAGCCAGGGUUGAUCAGACCCUGGCUUGUGUCUGAGUAGCUUGUAUGAUCCACGGAUCGUCCCGCUUGAUCCACAGUCACCUUGAUGCCUUUUCGGCAGCAUCCGUGAUGUUCUUGACGGCUUUCCUGAUGUGCAGUCCCUUCAUUC
Molecule: long non-coding RNA, 1656 nt
Organism: Cyprinus carpio carpio
Lineage: Eukaryota; Metazoa; Chordata; Actinopteri; Cypriniformes; Cyprinidae
Source: Ensembl